This 439-nucleotide ribosomal RNA is filed under the name uncultured bacterium. RNAcentral's name for it is "partial 16S ribosomal RNA". It matches the Rfam family "Bacterial small subunit ribosomal RNA", at positions 338 to 795 of the family's 1533-position model. The record is from RNAcentral.
CCUACGGGGGGCAGCAGUGAGGGAUAUUGGUCAAUGGGGGAAACCCUGAACCAGCAACGCCGCGUGAGGGAAGACGGUUUUCGGAUUGUAAACCUCUGUCCUCUGUGAAGAUAAUGACGGUAGCAGAGGAGGAAGCUCCGGCUAACUCCGUGCCAGCAGCCGCGGUAAUACGGAGGAUGCGAGCGUUAUCCGGAUUUAUUGGGUUUAAAGGGUGCGUAGGCGGAAUGCCAAGUCAGCGGUAAAAUCGCGGGGCUCAACCUCGCUCCGCCGUUGAAACUGGCGUUCUUGAGUGGGCGAGAAGUAUGCGGAAUGCGUGGUGUAGCGGUGAAAUGCAUAGAUAUCACGCAGAACUCCGAUUGCGAAGGCAGCAUACCGGCGCCCAACUGACGCUGAAGCACGAAAGCGUGGGUAUCGAACAGGAUUAGAUACCCGGGUAGUC